This 595-nucleotide ribosomal RNA is filed under the name uncultured bacterium. Its description in RNAcentral is "bacterial SSU rRNA". It matches the Rfam family "Bacterial small subunit ribosomal RNA", at positions 142 to 715 of the family's 1533-position model. The record is from RNAcentral.
GCAAACCUGACGAAAGUCGGGCUAAUACUGGAUAGAGCGACGGAAGCCGUAACGGUUUUUUCGGGAAAGGGAGCUAGCAAUAGCCUUCGCUGUAAGAUGAGCCUGCGUCUGAUUAGUUAGUUGGUGGGGUAACGGCCUACCAAGACGAUGAUCAGUAGCUGGUCUGAGAGGAUGAUCAGCCACACUGGAACUGAAACACGGUCCAGACUCCUACGGGAGGCAGCAGUGGGGAAUCUUGCGCAAUGGACGAAAGUCUGACGCAGCAACGCCGCGUGAGUGAAGAAGGCCUUCGGGUUGUAAAGCUCUGUCGCCCGGGACGAAUGUCCCUGAGGUUAAUAGCCUUAGGGAGUGACGGUACCGGGAGAGGAAGCACCGGCUAACUCUGUGCCAGCAGCCGCGGUAAUACAGAGGGUGCAAGCGUUGCUCGGAAUCAUUGGGCGUAAAGGGCAGGUAGGUGGUCUCAUUUGUCUGAGGUGAAAUCCUUGAGCUUAACUCAAGAAGUGCCUUAGAAACGGUGAGACUAGAGUACUGGAGAGGGUCGUGGAAUUCCCGGUGUAGCGGUGAAAUGCGUAGAGAUCGGAAGGAACACCAGUGG